This 431-nucleotide ribosomal RNA is filed under the name uncultured bacterium. Its description in RNAcentral is "partial 16S ribosomal RNA". It matches the Rfam family "Bacterial small subunit ribosomal RNA", at positions 29 to 507 of the family's 1533-position model. The record is from RNAcentral.
AACGAACGCUGGCGGCAGGCUUAACACAUGCAAGUCGAGCGCCCCGCCAGGGGAGCGGCCGACGGGUGAGUAACGCGUGGGAACGUACCCUUAUCUCCGGGAUAGCUCCGGGAAACUGGAAUUAAUACCGAAUGUGCCCUUUGGGGGAAAGAUUUAUCGGAUAAGGAUCGGCCCGCGUUGGAUUAGCUAGUUGGUGGGGUAAAGGCCUACCAAGGCGACGAUCCAUAGCUGGUCUGAGAGGAUGAUCAGCCACAUUGGGACUGAGACACGGCCCAAACUCCUACGGGAGGCAGCAGUGGGGAAUAUUGGACAAUGGGCGCAAGCCUGAUCCAGCCAUGCCGCGUGAGUGAUGAAGGCCUUAGGGUUGUAAAGCUCUUUCACCGGAGAAGAUAAUGACGGUAUCCGGAGAAGAAGCCCCGGCUAACUUCGUG